RNA transcript from Zingiber officinale, 654 nucleotides. It is a transcript of the gene named protein NOI4-like, with no coding region annotated. The transcript has 4 exons. Lineage: Eukaryota; Viridiplantae; Streptophyta; Magnoliopsida; Zingiberales; Zingiberaceae. The record is from RefSeq and is a predicted model, not a curated record.
AGCGUAUAAGAGAGAGUAGAGAUCGUGGUCUCUCCGGUUUUACUGCUCACCGGCUUCCCGAUCAUGGCUUCGAGAUCUUGAGAACUCCAAAAUACAAUACGCCAGAAUAGCAGAUCUCCCAAACAAUUACAUCAAUGUUUGGUUGUUUCUUUGAUACCAUUUUCUAGAUGAUCUGGCUUUAUUACAUACAAGGUACGUUCAAUUCUUAAGGCUGGAAUUACCCGGUUGGGAAGUUAGUAGGAGGGAGAGGAAGAGGAUAAGGGCCAACCACUACCCAAGUUCGGAGAGUGGGAUGUGAACAAUCCUGCCUCAGCAGAAGGUUUCACUGUCAUAUUCAACAAAGCCCGAGAUGAAAAGAAAACAGGUAGCAACUCCGGUGCAACACCAACUAGAAAUGAUGGAGGUGAUUUGCAACAUGAUGAUGCCUAUCAGUAUCAACCGAAAAGCCGCAAGUGGUUGUGCUGUGGUUGAUUUUUGUUGAGCUGGUUUGCUGUAGUGAUCUUAGUUUGAGGUUGCAAGGGUAAACAGAGUUUGUUUAGCGGAUAUAUCUGACUGAAAUUAUUAUACCCCAAUGCUCCGUAUGUAUUCUAAUUAAUUAUUCUGUAUUUUUUAAACUUAUUAUUCUCAGUUUUGCCGUGUAGUUGCACCAUUUCA